RNAcentral lists this ribosomal RNA (154 nucleotides) under Kalanchoe integrifolia. RNAcentral describes it as "5.8S ribosomal RNA". The stretch from base 11 to 130 matches the Rfam family "5.8S ribosomal RNA". From Rfam's summary of the family: 5.8S ribosomal RNA (5.8S rRNA) is a component of the large subunit of the eukaryotic ribosome. It is transcribed by RNA polymerase I as part of the 45S precursor that also contains 18S and 28S rRNA. Lineage: Eukaryota; Viridiplantae; Streptophyta; Magnoliopsida; Saxifragales; Crassulaceae. The record is from RNAcentral.
AUAUUAUAACGACUCUCGGCAACGGAUAUCUCGGCUCUCGCAUCGAUGAAGAACGUAGCGAAAUGCGAUACUUGGUGUGAAUUGCAGAAUCCCGUGAACCAUCGAGUCUUUGAUGCGAACUUGCGUGUGAAGCCAUUAGGCUGAGGGCACGUCU